GAAAGUAAAAGUCGUAACAAGGUUUCCGUAGGUGAACCUGCGGAAGGAUCAUUACUGAGUUGUUCUCUUUUCUUAAAGAGACUCUCCCACCCUUUGUUUAUAUGACCUGUUGCUUCGGCAAGACUGAUUUUUUGUCAAAGAAAAAUCGGUUGACUAUUUUAUUAUAGUGAGCUAGUUUGCUUGCCGAAGUUUUUUACAACACUUAUUUAUUUGAUUUUUUUAUAAAUAAAAAAACAAAAUUAAAACUUUCAACAACGGAUCUCUUGGUUCUG
RNAcentral lists this unclassified non-coding RNA (272 nucleotides) under plant metagenome. RNAcentral describes it as "partial contains small subunit ribosomal RNA, internal transcribed spacer 1, and 5.8S ribosomal RNA". The stretch from base 1 to 54 matches the Rfam family "Eukaryotic small subunit ribosomal RNA", at positions 1778 to 1831 of the family's 1831-position model. The record is from RNAcentral.